CGUCGGGCCAGGCGGCCGCUCGAGAGCCGGGCUGGGGAAGGGGCCCGCGGCGGAGUUGGCUCGGGGACUCACCAGGAGGAAGACAGAGAAUCUAGGAAGGUGCCAGGGAUGAUUUCUCAUCCCAAAGCCCUGGGAGAAAUCCCAUCUCUGGGCAAGAAGAGAAUCUGAACGCAAAUGGAUGAAGAUGCUAAUGAGGCUCAGAUGAUGAGAGCACACUAGGCUCACAGCAUGCUGACAAAUCCAGAAACAGGCUAUGCUUCCCUCCCGCCUUCCUAAGACUUCAGCUAAGACACUGCACAUGCCCGUCCCUCUGCAGGAAGGCCAUCCACAGUUAUAUCUUGCUUUAAAAAAGCAAAACUUUGAAAAAUAAAAUGUACAAAAUUGGGUAGUUAUUUGCAUUAUAAAGCAAUUUCAUUUAUUUAAAC
This 425-nucleotide long non-coding RNA is filed under the name Homo sapiens (human). RNAcentral describes it as "HSALNT0224709". Lineage: Eukaryota; Metazoa; Chordata; Mammalia; Primates; Hominidae. The record is from RNAcentral.